This 490-nucleotide ribosomal RNA is filed under the name uncultured bacterium. RNAcentral's name for it is "partial 16S ribosomal RNA". It matches the Rfam family "Bacterial small subunit ribosomal RNA", at positions 30 to 507 of the family's 1533-position model. The record is from RNAcentral.
AUUGAACGCUGGCGGCAGGCCUAACACAUGCAAGUCGAACGGUAACAGGAAGAAGCUUGCUUCUUUGCUGACGAGUGGCGGACGGGUGAGUAAUGUCUGGGAAACUGCCUGAUGGAGGGGGAUAACUACUGGAAACGGUAGCUAAUACCGCAUAACGUCGCAAGACCAAAGAGGGGGACCUUCGGGCCUCUUGCCAUCGGAUGUGCCCAGAUGGGAUUAGCUAGUAGGUGGGGUAACGGCUCACCUAGGCGACGAUCCCUAGCUGGUCUGAGAGGGUGACCAGCCACACUGGAACUGAGACACGGUCCAGACUCCUACGGGAGGCAGCAGUGGGGAAUAUUGCACAAUGGGCGCAAGCCUGAUGCAGCCAUGCCGCGUGUAUGAAGAAGGCCUUCGGGUUGUAAAGUACUUUCAGCGGGGAGGAAGGGAGUAAAGUUAAUACCUUUGCUCAUUGACGUUACCCGCAGAAGAAGCACCGGCUAACUCCGUG